AAAUCGCAAAAAAGACUCAAAGGGGUAGUUUCGUCAUUAAUUUGAAUUUUCCCUUUCUCCUUCUUCACUGCCAGCUCUGCUAUAGAGCUUCUUCUUCUCUUCUUCUUCACGUACGCUUCAGAGAUCGACCCGAGUAGAGAUAAUAAAAAAAAAAUGUCAGGAUUCGUCGGGAUUUUGGUAUCGGAUCCAUGGUUACAGAACCAAUUCACACAAGUGGAGCUUCGGAGUUUGAAAUCUCACUUCACGAGCAUGAGGAGAGAGAGCGGUAAGCUAA
Molecule: non-coding RNA, 274 nt
Organism: Camelina sativa (false flax)
Lineage: Eukaryota; Viridiplantae; Streptophyta; Magnoliopsida; Brassicales; Brassicaceae
Source: RefSeq, a predicted model, not a curated record